UACACAAAUAUGAAGGCGGGCUGGAACCUCUCGGGGUUACAGCCUUGCUGAAUUAUUCACCCUUGUCUUUUGCGUACUUCUUGUUUCCUUGGUGGGUUCGCCCACCACUAGGACAAACAUAAACCUUUUGUAAUUGCAAUCAGCGUCAGUAACAAAUUAAUAAUUACAACUUUCAACAACGGAUCUCUUGGUUCUGGCAUCGAUGAAGAACGCAGCGAAAUGCGAUAAGUAGUGUGAAUUGCAGAAUUCAGUGAAUCAUCGAAUCUUUGAACGCACAUUGCGCCCUUUGGUAUUCCAAAGGGCAUGCCUGUUCGAGCGUCAUUUGUACCCUCAAGCUUUGCUUGGUGUUGGGCGUCUUGUCUCUAGCUUUGCUGGAGACUCGCCUUAAAGUAAUUGGCAGCCGGCCUACUGGUUUCGGAGCGCAGCACAAGUCGCACUCUCUAUCAGCAAAGGUCUAGCAUCCAUUAAGCCUUUUUUUCAACUUUUGACCUCGGAUCAGGUAGGGAUACCCGCUGAACUUAAGCAUAUCAAUAAGCGGAGGAAAAGAAACCAACAGGGAUUGCCCUAGUAACGGCGAGUGAAGCGGCAACAGCUCAAAUUUGAAAUCUGGCUCUUUUAGAGUCCGAGUUGUAAUUUGCAGAGGGCGCUUUGGCUUUGGCAGCGGUCCAAGUUCCUUGGAACAGGACGUCACAGAGGGUGAGAAUCCCGUACGUGGUCGCUGG
Molecule: ribosomal RNA, 722 nt
Filed under: fungal sp.
Lineage: Eukaryota; Fungi
Description: eukaryotic LSU rRNA
Rfam family: Eukaryotic large subunit ribosomal RNA (bases 486-722)
Source: RNAcentral